AGGGAGGGAGGGAGGGAGGGAGAAAGAGAGGGCUUUUAAUCUGCCUGUGGAUGUGGCUUUACACCGUGAGAGGCAGGCUGAUGUGGGAGAUGAGAUCAUUACUAUAAUUAAACCCUCUGUGGCGUUUAUCAAACAGCUUAUUUGAUUUGACAAUGUGAGAUGAGGCAUCAUAAGAGGACUGGUAAACCAGCUUUUUUCACUGAUCAGACUGGCAUGCUCUCUGCCAGCUGGAGAAGCGGGAACUCUACGCACCAUGAGUCCAGUGCUGCUCUCCAGCGCUCUGUGUGCAACUGCAAUGCUGACAGAUGGCACUGCCCAGGAUGUUGGUUUCAUGCCAUGUCACAGUCUUUAGAGGGACGAAAGCCGUACUGUCUGUUCAAAGUGAACAAAGGCUUAACGACAAAAAACAUCACUGUAUUAACAAAGCUAAAGGGCUUAUCUGAACAAAACACACUUUUAGAGGUCUUAGAGAGGGGCACGCCGAGAGAAUCAGGUCUGUUACUUAAUGUUGUGUAUUACAUGUUACAUGCAUGGCUGUCAUGUGUGAAUGUCAUAUCUAACGUAGGCCCUUAUCUAACGCCUUUGAAUAACUAGCCAUCCAUAAUUAUAGCAACUGCGAUGACUAUUAAAAACCCUUUACUAGCAGAGAAAAUAAUGACCUUCCGUGUCGUUCAGUGCCUGUUCGUAUUGUAUUUUUUUCAAGGGUAAACUAAAAUAUACUUUCAUGUAAUUAAUAUUCAAACUUGUAUGUCAUGUAUUUAAAUGUAUUUGUAAUUAUGCAUUUGUAAUGGCAAAGUUGCAAUUUAGUACAUGUAAACUGUAUUACUUUUUCUAUAUUACAUUUUUAUCAUUCUUAUGUUUAAAGCGGUCCAUAAGAGACGGUGGUCUUGUCUGUGUACAGCUCAAUGUGAAAUUAGAUGAAACAAUUCCGUGAAUGGAUUUGAGGAUUUGACUCGGAGUGAAAUUGGCAAAUGUUACAUCUCUGUGUUGUUGGAGUGAGAUUAGAAAAUAAUUUAAGGCUGUAAUCAUUCGGAAUCCCUUUAUAUGAAGAGAAGAGAUUAAGAAGAGAGGGAAUUUUUCACUUUUGUCUUAUAUAUUCAAUAGACAGUCCCAUAAAAGCACAGAAAAAUAUUGCUCUGUGCAACUAAACAAUUUUAUAUAGCCUAAUAAUGUUAUGAAGUUCACUUUUUUUCUGAGUUUUUGUACUUUGCCUUGCUUCAGCAACAAAACUGAGUUUAUUAAACGAAAGGUAAUGAGAAUUUAGACUUCAUUAUUUUGUAAUGAAUAUUUACGCUCUUGUUUUUCCAAGUUUCUCAGUAAUUUUGCACCACUUUUUUCCCACUCUUUUAACUGUCUUUUUUUCUGAGUUUUUGUACUUUGCCUUGCUUCAGCAACAAAUCUGAGUUUAUUAAACGGAAGGUAAUGUGAACUUUGUGUAUUUUGAGUAUUUUGAAUGAAAGUUUAUGCUCUUGUUUUUACAAGUUCUUCUGUCAUCUCGAGCACUUUGCACUCAUUUGUAUUUUUUCCACUCUGUUAACUGUCUUUUAGGUGCGCACAUGUCACAAAGUGUCGGAAAGACAUCUCUCAUCUAGAAUUAUCUCCAUUGUAAAAAAUGUUCGCUGUUGUAAAUCAGUCUUUUUGAAAUGUAUUUAUCAUUUUGCAGAUGAACCUUUUGAAACAAUCAAUUUGUCAUUUAAGCGUAAUUGCUUUCUUUUCUUAAAAUGUAAAUUUAAAGCUAAGAAAUGAGAGGGGGCAAUUAUCAGAACAUAUUCUUGAUAGCUGCAUUUUUUAUGUAAAGAUUAGGGUUUAAUUUCACUGCAUCAAAUGACAUAUGGGAGAAAAGAAAACUCAAGUGUUGUCAGACCUCUGCAGUGAAAAAGAAUACAAAACAUUCUCUGAUGCCGAGUGUCUCUCUGUGGAUCUCUCAAGGAGAAAAAAAAAACACUUUAAUUUCCACUCAUCUCACGUUUCUUUUUAGAUUUGGGGUUUUAAAUGGAUGCUGAUCAGUGCUUAAGCAAACCACCUUGAAUAAUAAUAGCCACAGUGGUAUGUUUAAUGAAGGCCUCUGGCUGUGUGGCUAUGACUUCUGUUGUCACACAUGUCAUGAUCAAAGGCAGGGGCAGGAGAAGCACAUGAAUGGCCCUCAAUUAGGUGGAGCGGGACUCACCAAUCAUCCUGUGCAUCAUUGUAAGAACAGGCAUUUGUAUUCCUUUCGCACAGGGCACUACAUACCACAACACAGCUGAAAAGCUUCACCUGAUAACACAUAAGCGAACACAAUAAAGUCAAAUGUUUGGGAUAGCUGCUUUUAAUA
Molecule: long non-coding RNA, 2314 nt
Organism: Cyprinus carpio (common carp)
Lineage: Eukaryota; Metazoa; Chordata; Actinopteri; Cypriniformes; Cyprinidae
Source: Ensembl